UACGUAGGGUGCAAGCGUUAAUCGGAAUUACUGGGCGUAAAGCGUGCGCAGGCGGUGAUGUAAGACAGGUGUGAAAUCCCCGGGCUUAACCUGGGAACUGCAUUUGUGACUGCGUCGCUGGAGUGCGGCAGAGGGGGAUGGAAUUCCGCGUGUAGCAGUGAAAUGCGUAGAUAUCAAGUGGAACACCAGUGGCGAAGGCGAGUCCCUGGACGACUCCUGACACUGAGGCACGAAAGCUAGGGGAGCAAACAGG
Molecule: ribosomal RNA, 253 nt
Filed under: uncultured bacterium
Lineage: Bacteria
Description: partial 16S ribosomal RNA
Rfam family: Bacterial small subunit ribosomal RNA
Source: RNAcentral